GAUGAACGCUGGCGGCGUGCCUAAUACAUGCAAGUCGAGCGAACGGACUAGAAGCUUGCUUCUCUGUUGUUAGCGGCGGACGGGUGAGUAACACGUGGAUAACCUACCUAUAAGACUGGGAUAACUUCGGGAAACCGGAGCUAAAACCGGAUGAUAUUUUGAACCGCAUGGUUCAAAAGUGAAAGACGGUCUUGCUGUCACUUAUCGAUGGAUCCCCGCUGCAUUGGCUAGUUGGUAAGUGAACGGCUUACCAAGGCAACGGGGCAUAGCCGCUGUGAGAGGGGGAUAGGCCCCACUGCAAGUGACACAACCUCCAGACCACUACGGGAGGGAGCAGUAGGGAACCUUCAGUCAUGGGCGCAAACCUGCCGGAGCAACGCCGAGUGAGUGAUGAAGGUCCUCGCCUCGUAACACUCUCUUAUUAGGGAAGACCAUAUGUGUAAGUACCUGUGCACAUCUUGACGGUACCUAAUCAGAAAGCCACGGCUAACUACGUG
Molecule: ribosomal RNA, 497 nt
Filed under: uncultured bacterium
Lineage: Bacteria
Description: partial 16S ribosomal RNA
Rfam family: Bacterial small subunit ribosomal RNA
Source: RNAcentral